UAAGGAGGGUUUUGUGAAUUUCUUUGUAACUUUUCUGUGUUCUGUAUAUUUCAUCGGACAUAGGAUACUUUGUUCCAUCAUCUCUUCUCUUGUGCAAGUGUUUUCUACUAACUUCUCAGAUUCUUUAUUCGCAUAAGAUAGAGAAAAAGAGCAAACGAAAAAGUGGGAAGAGCCUUGAAGAAGAAGACUAAUACUUGGAGAUAACGAGAGACAAGGCUGAUUCAGAAAUCUGCCUAAAGGACAUAAAAAGGGAAAUUGAAA
RNAcentral lists this unclassified non-coding RNA (261 nucleotides) under Hevea brasiliensis (rubber tree). The record is from RNAcentral. Lineage: Eukaryota; Viridiplantae; Streptophyta; Magnoliopsida; Malpighiales; Euphorbiaceae.